GGCGAGUGAAGCGGUAAAAGCUCAAAUUUGAAAUCUGGUACUUUCAGUGCCCGAGUUGUAAUUUGUAGAAUUUGUCUUUGAUUAGGUCCUUGUCUAUGUUCCUUGGAACAGGACGUCAUAGAGGGUGAGAAUCCCGUUUGGCGAGGAUACCUUUUCUCUGUAAGACUUUUUCGAAGAGUCGAGUUGUUUGGGAAUGCAGCUCAAAGUGGGUGGUAAAUUCCAUCUAAAGCUAAAUAUUGGCGAGAGACCGAUAGCGAACAAGUACAGUGAUGGAAAGAUGAAAAGAACUUUGAAAAGAGAGUGAAAAAGUACGUGAAAUUGUUGAAAGGGAAGGGCAUUUGAUCAGACAUGGUGUUUUUUGCAUGCACUCGCCUCUCGUGGGCUUGGGCCUCUCAAAAAUUUCACUGGGCCAACAUCAAUUCUGGCAGCAGGAUAAAUCAUUAAGAAUGUAGCUACUUCGGUAGUGUUAUAGCUUUUUGGAAUACUGUUAGCCGGGAUUGAGGACUGCGCUUCGGCAAGGAUGUUGGCAUAAUGGUUAAAUGCCGCCCGUCUUGAAACACGGACCAAGGAGUCUAACGUCUAUGCGAGUGUUUGGGUGUAAAACCCGUACGCGUAAUGAAAGUGAACGUAGGUUGGGGCCUUCGGGUGCACAAUCGACCGACCUUGAUGUUUUCGGAUAGGUUUGAGUAAGAGCAUAGCUGUUGGGACCCGAAAGAUGGUGAACUAUGCCUGAAUAGGGUGAAGCCAGAGGAAACUCUGGUGGAGGCUCGUAGCGGUUUC
Molecule: ribosomal RNA, 780 nt
Filed under: Hanseniaspora uvarum
Lineage: Eukaryota; Fungi; Ascomycota; Saccharomycetes; Saccharomycodales; Saccharomycodaceae
Description: partial large subunit ribosomal RNA
Rfam family: Eukaryotic large subunit ribosomal RNA
Source: RNAcentral